GUGGGUGUGGUAGAGAUAGAGGGGUAGGAGGGGUAGGUGGGUGUGGUAGAGGUAGAGGGGUAGGUGGGUGUGGUAGAGGUAGAGGGUUAGGAGGGGCAGGUAGGUGUGGUAGAGGUAGAGGGGUAGGAGGGGGGUAGGUGGGUGUGGUUGGGGUAGAGGGGUAGGUAGGUGUGGUAGAGGUAGAGGUAGAGGUGUAGGAGGGGUAGGUAGGUCUGGUAGGUGUAGGAGGGGUAGGUGGUGUGGUUGGGGUAGAGGUAGAGGUAGAGGUGUAGGAGGGGUAGAGGUAGAGGUAGAGGUGUAGGAGGAGUAGGUGGGUGUGGUUGGGGUAGGAGGGGUAGGUGGGUGUGGUUGGGGUAGGAGUGGUAGGUAGGUGUGGUUGGGGUAGAAGGGGUAGGUGGGUGUGGUUGGGGUAGAGCUAGAGGUAGAGGUAGAGGGGUAGGUGGGUGUGGUUGGGGUAGAAGGGGUAGGUGGGUGUGGUUGGGGUAGAGGGGUAGGUAGGUGUGGUUGGGGUAGAAGGGGUAGGUGGGUGUGGUUGGGGUAGAAGGG
Long non-coding RNA from Oncorhynchus tshawytscha (Chinook salmon), 546 nucleotides. The record is from Ensembl. NCBI's taxonomy places the organism in Eukaryota, Metazoa, Chordata, Actinopteri, Salmoniformes, Salmonidae.